UGCAAGAAUAUACUCAUUUGUGUCUCUCUUUCCACUCGACCGUACAGAACUAUCCGCUAUGAGGUCGACGACUCAUUCGCUGCCACACACAACCAAUAAAACUACCUCGUGGUAAUCUAAGCUCUUUGGACUCUGGGGAUUGCUAUUUGCUGGCUCAGUUCAGAAGUGGUAUUAUCAAUAUUUAGUAAUGGCACUCUCGGCUUGCUGUCUCGGCCCUUCUAACCUGAACCCUUUGCCUUCAUCUUCCGUGUUCAAGCCUCUCAGAUUCCCACCCUUCUGGCCAAGACAAAAAGUGAAGAUGGGUCCGCUGAGCGUGUCUCCAAUGGGGUUUGGAACGUGGGCAUGGGGCAAUCAAUUUCUUUGGGGGUACCAGGAAUCGAUGGACAAUGAGCUUCAACAAGUCUUCAAUUUGGCUUUGGAGAAUGGGGUCAAUCUCUUUGAUACUGCUGACUCUUAUGGGACAGGGAGGUUAAAUGGGCAGAGCGAGAAGCUUCUGGGAAAGUUCAUCCGAGAAUUUCAAGGGCAAAAGGGUGGCCAGGGUGAGAUAGUAAUUGCCACGAAGUUUGCAGCAUACCCAUGGCGCCUUACACCGGGUCAAUUUGUGGAUGCUUGCAGGGCAUCGCUAGAUCGAAUGCAGCUUGAGCAAAUUGGAAUAGGACAACUGCAUUGGUCGACUGCCAAUUAUGCUCCUUUGCAGGAGCGAGCUCUCUGGGAUGGUCUUGUGGCAAUGUAUGAGAAGGGUUUAGUUCGAGCUGUUGGAGUGAGCAAUUACGGACCGAGGCAACUAUUGAAGAUACAUGAUUAUUUGAAAGCGCGGGGAGUCCCCUUAUGCUCAGCCCAGGUGCAGUUUUCUCUGCUGAGCAUGGGGAGAGAUCAGUUAGAGAUAAAGAAUAUAUGUGAUUCUCUGGGCAUUCGCUUGAUCGCUUAUAGUCCUUUAGGACUUGGUAUGCUUACUGGGAAAUAUUCACCAUCGAAGCUUCCAACCGGGCCUCGGGGCUUGUUGUUCAGACAAAUCCUACCUGGAUUGGAGCCUUUACUGGGUUCCUUGAGUGAGAUUGCUAAAAAACGACGCAAAAGCAUGGCGCAAGUAAAUAUCUUUUCCCCUUGUGCCUGGUUUCUGGCUGCGACACACGCACAAGCAAUUUCGUGUCACCAUCACUCCCAGGAAAAAAAUUGGAAGUGUGAUACAUCUGACAAGGGUAGCGAUAAAUUGGUGUGUGAGCAAAGGGACGAUACCAAUACCAGGAGUGAAGUCAAUAAAACAAGCACGAGAAAAUUUGGGUGCUCUUGGGUGGCGCCUCUCUUCAGAUGAGUUGCUUCAGUUAGAAUUUGCAGCACAGGAGUCUCCUCGCAGCAUGAUCCAGAACAUUUUCCAAACCAGAUAAAUAUUAAAGGGUGAAACGCAGCCUCGAUACAAGAUGAAGACCUCGAAACACUUCCCAUUGGUUGAACGUUUCAAUGGUUAUCCGGACGAGCCAGAUGUUCAGGGAAAAUUAGGUGUUCCAUAUUUUGGUCGCCCUUGCUAAACUUUACUGAAGCACCACAACUGAUUAGAGCGUCAGGGCACUGCAUUGUAAAUGCACGUUAAAAACAUCAUUUGCUGGCUGCCGUGAAGAAUACUUUCGCCA
Molecule: RNA transcript, 1628 nt
Organism: Neltuma alba
Lineage: Eukaryota; Viridiplantae; Streptophyta; Magnoliopsida; Fabales; Fabaceae
Gene name: pyridoxal reductase, chloroplastic
Exons: 9
Source: RefSeq, a predicted model, not a curated record